This 372-nucleotide ribosomal RNA is filed under the name uncultured organism. RNAcentral's name for it is "bacterial SSU rRNA". It matches the Rfam family "Bacterial small subunit ribosomal RNA", at positions 526 to 896 of the family's 1533-position model. The record is from RNAcentral.
CAGAGGGGGCAAGCGUUGUUCGGAGUUACUGGGCGUAAAGGGCGCGUAGGCGGCCGCCUAAGUCAGACGUGAAAUCCCUCGGCUCAACCGGGGAACUGCGUCUGAUACUGGGUGGCUUGAAUCCGGGAGAGGGAUGCGGAAUUCCAGGUGUAGCGGUGAAAUGCGUAGAUAUCUGGAGGAACACCGGUGGCGAAGGCGGCAUCCUGGACCGGCAUUGACGCUGAGGCGCGAAAGCCAGGGGAGCAAACGGGAUUAGAUACCCCGGUAGUCCUGGCCCUAAACGAUGAGUGCUUGGUGUGGCGGGUAUCGAUCCCUGCCGUGCCGAAGCUAACGCAUUAAGCACUCCGCCUGGGGAGUACGGUCGCAAGGCUG